Molecule: long non-coding RNA, 1240 nt
Filed under: Homo sapiens (human)
Lineage: Eukaryota; Metazoa; Chordata; Mammalia; Primates; Hominidae
Description: HSALNT0248574
Source: RNAcentral
CCCCUCCCCCCGCCCCGCCUCGCGCCUUCCCGCUGCCUCGGCGUCCGCGAGUGGCUUUUGGGGGUCCCUCGCCCUCUGUGAGGGUGGUGGGCGCGCAUUUCUCCCCUACCCCCCUCCAACGACGCCCCCCGCCCAGCCUGUGGAGCCCUCGAUGCGCGGUCCUCACGCCUCCAUUCCCAAACCCCGCCGCACAGACGAACGCGCAGCCCCGCGGGGGUGUACAGGGGGUCGUGCGGGGGGGGGGUCUUCUGUGAGGGAGGGCUGCACCCCAGUGUGCUGACGCGCGAAGCCAGGAGGAAAAAUUAUUUCCCCUGGAGCCCGCGUUCAUUCAGCCUGCUCUCGCCUCUGCGCAAUUGCUUUCUCUGUUCACUGGACGGCGGCUGAAGAGCCCCAAGCGUGAACUCGGCCUGGGCAGUGGUGGCUCGGAAACCCUUGGCCUUUUGCAUGAAGGGGGUAGGGUGGGGGCAGGGCGCGGACAAAACCAAACAAACCCGGGAGCUCCGGGCCCAAGCCGACUUUUGCACCUCCCGGAGGAGCACGCCCUCCGGCCCCGGGCCCCGGCUCGUCGGUAGCCUCCCGGGACCACGGGGACGGCUCCACCCCAGGGCAGCCGCGUCCAGCUGGCCCUGGGCCUUGACGGGUGCUGCGGGGAAAAGGUUCUUGAGAGAUGCUGCGGCCCGGUAGAGAGAUUUAGCUCCACUUUUCACAGCUGGAGGCUUUUGUUAUUAGAGAUGCGGCUCCAUUUUUAAAACUAAUUGUUGCCACAGAUAGGCGACUACAUCUCUGGAAGCAGCAGCUCCAUGCUGGAUGUGGUGGAAGAAUCGAGGUAAGGAAAGGCUGAUGUAUUUUGAGUGCCUUUAGUGCAGUACAGCCCGGGGGAGCUCCCCGUGUGCGUGGGAGUGGGGAGAGGGAAUGGACUGGAAGUUUGGAAUCACCGGAAAAUAACAAGGCAUAGCUAAGCUGUGACUAGCAAGAUAAACGAUUUGUUCGAGGUUUGAUUGUCCUUUCCCUCCUCCACUCGGAAGACAUAGUUGUCUUUUUUUAAAUCAUGUUUUGUACCGAAAUAUUUUUAUUUUAUAAUUGAAUCCCUGUUGUUGGGCCUUUAAAAACCCAUAGAAACAUUGUUAUGUGCCACGAAGGUGGGAAACACGGCUUUCUCAGUCAUUGCUGUACUCCCACAAUUCUGGGUCAUGCACACAAUACAGGUUUAGUAAAUAAAAUCCGUAUGUUUUUGGCCCCA